GCAAAUUAGACUGCAUUAUAUUGAUAUGUUAUUAUCAAUUUCAACUCUGAUUAACUGCCAAUUAACAUAUGGUUGUUUCCAGAGAUGAAACAAUUGAGAACAGUGAACAGAGAGAUGAAGCCUCCUCACCCUGAAACUGCUUAUCUUUGCCCAGAAGUGACUUCUAACUUCCUUAGACAGGUCUGGGGUAUGACCUGGCUGUCAAUAUUCUCCAGCGACCUUCCCAGUAUCAGGAACAGGACUACUAUUCAACCUAUAGCAGUGAGUAUACCAAGCACAUAAAUAUUGUUCCUGAAAUAUCUCUCACUAAAGAAACUAGGACUUCUGGAGAAAAGGAUGAUUCCAAGUUUGAGAUGGGAAAUAUGCAAGAUGAAUCUGGAACAUCUUUUCAUAGCAUGAAACAAAGAAUCUAAGAACAACUGGUUGGACAUCACUGGGUGACAAAACGGUAAGGGGUCGGAGUAUAAGUUUCUCUUUACAGAAUUAUUAUAGCUAAUGAAUGAAGAAGGAUAGACUAUCCACUGUGCAAUCACUAAUGAAUUGUUUGAAUUUCAUAGACAUUAAGAUCAUAGAAAGGCUGACAACCAGACUAUGGAAGAGCAUAAUACUACUAUGAUGUAGUUUUGCCUCCAGAUAUAGGGACACAAUACCAUCCAUGAAAUAGUCUUGCUAACAAUAUUGAACCUAGAUAUGAUAAAACCUCCAGGUCGAAUGAUAAUACACAUGCAAUAAGUGUCAACAUUUUGAUAAUCUAGUUUAAAAAUAUACAAGAGAAUUCUUUUUACUAACUUUCCAACUUCCCUUUAAUUCUAAAAUUAUUUGAAAAAAAAUUUUUUUAAACAGGACUUUUUUUCCUUUUGGUUGUUGAUACAACCCAAGCAGCUAGGACAGGUCCAGACAUGAACUCAGUAAAUAGUUCCUCAAAGAAUGAAAAACUAAUGUCAAGUAAGGACUCCAGUCUAGAAAGGUAGGAUUAGGAACAUUCCCCAUAAAAAUGGGAGUAGAGUACCUGUGAAUUGAUCUCUGCACAUGAAGAGAGUGUGUCAAGAGAAAAGCUGGUUUAGAACUAUAGUUUCCAUCAUUCGUUAGAAAAAUGUUUAUUUUAUGCUCCAUCCUUUCAUCUUCUACCAUAAUAAACUAUGAUUGGUAUUUUUACA
This 1157-nucleotide long non-coding RNA is filed under the name Vulpes vulpes (red fox). Its description in RNAcentral is "lncRNA (ENSVVUG00000026543.1)". The record is from RNAcentral. Lineage: Eukaryota; Metazoa; Chordata; Mammalia; Carnivora; Canidae.